AGGACGAACGCUGGCGGCGCGCUUAACACAUGCAAGUCGAGCGAGAACCAGCCCUUCGGGGCUGGGGACAGCGGCGAACGGGUGAGUAACACGUGGGUAAUCUGCCCUCGGUUCUGGGAUAGCCCGGGGAAACCCGGAUUAAUACCGGACAGCCUCUUGAGCUCUCGGGCUCUCGAGAAAAGGUAACUUCGGCCUCCGACUGAGGAUGAGCCCGCGGCGGAUUAGCUUGUUGGCGGGGUAACGCCCACCAAGGCGACGAUCCGUAGCUGGUCUGAGAGGACGAUCAGCCACACUGGGACUGAGACACGGCCCAGACUCCUACGGGAGGCAGCAGUGGGAAUCUUGCGCAAUGGGCGAAAGCCUGACGCAGCGACGCCGCGUGAGGAAGAAGGCCUUCGGGCGUAAACCUCUUUCAGGAGGACGAAGCCACUCGGUUAAUAGCCCAGAGGUGACGGUACCUCCAGAAGAAGCCCCGGCUAACUACGUGCCAGCAGCCGC
This 498-nucleotide ribosomal RNA is filed under the name uncultured soil bacterium. RNAcentral's name for it is "bacterial SSU rRNA". It matches the Rfam family "Bacterial small subunit ribosomal RNA", at positions 26 to 518 of the family's 1533-position model. The record is from RNAcentral.